RNAcentral lists this ribosomal RNA (241 nucleotides) under uncultured bacterium. RNAcentral's name for it is "partial 16S ribosomal RNA". It matches the Rfam family "Bacterial small subunit ribosomal RNA", at positions 95 to 334 of the family's 1533-position model. The record is from RNAcentral.
CCGGCGCACGGGUGAGUAACACGUAUCCAACCUGCCGUCUACUCUUGGCCAGCCUUCUGAAAGGAAGAUUAAUCCAGGAUGGGAUCAUGAGUUCACAUGUCCGCAUGAUUAAAGGUAUUUUCCGGUAGACGAUGGGGAUGCGUUCCAUUAGAUAGUAGGCGGGGUAACGGCCCGCCUAGUCAACGAUGGAUAGGGGUUCUGAGAGGAAGGUCCCCCACAUUGGAACUGAGACACGGUCCAA